RNAcentral lists this ribosomal RNA (515 nucleotides) under uncultured bacterium. RNAcentral's name for it is "partial 16S ribosomal RNA". It matches the Rfam family "Bacterial small subunit ribosomal RNA", at positions 28 to 523 of the family's 1533-position model. The record is from RNAcentral.
GAUGAACGCUGGCGGCGUGCCUAAUACAUGCAAGUCGAGCGAAUGGAUUAAGAGCUUGCUCUUAUGAAGUUAGCGGCGGACGGGUGAGUAACACGUGGGUAACCUGCCCAUAAGACUGGGAUAACUCCGGGAAACCGGGGCUAAUACCGGAUAACAUUUUGAACCGCAUGGUUCGAAAUUGAAAGGCGGCUUCGGCUGUCACUUAUGGAUGGACCCGCGUCGCAUUAGCUAGUUGGUGAGGUAACGGCUCACCAAGGCAACGAUGCGUACCCGACCUGAGGGGGUGAGCGGCCACACUGGGACUGGGAAGCGGCCAAGACGCCUACGGGAGGCAGCAGUAGGGAAUCUUCCGCAAUGGACGAAAGUCUGACGGAGCAACGCCGCGUGAGUGAUGAAGGCUUUCGUGUCGUAAAACUCUGUUGUUAGGGAAGAACAAGUGCUAGUUGAAUAAGCUGGCACCUUGACGGUACCAAACCAGAAAGCCACGGCUAACUACGUGCCAGCAGCCGCGGUAA